This 74-nucleotide transfer RNA is filed under the name Micromonospora pattaloongensis. It matches the Rfam family "tRNA". From Rfam's summary of the family: Transfer RNA (tRNA) molecules are approximately 80 nucleotides in length. Their secondary structure includes four short double-helical elements and three loops (D, anti-codon, and T loops). Further hydrogen bonds mediate the characteristic L-shaped molecular structure. tRNAs have two regions of fundamental functional importance: the anti-codon, which is responsible for specific mRNA codon recognition, and the 3' end, to which the tRNAs corresponding amino acid is attached (by aminoacyl-tRNA synthetases). tRNAs cope with the degeneracy of the genetic code in two manners: having more than one tRNA (with a specific anti-codon) for a particular amino acid; and 'wobble' base-pairing, i.e. permitting non-standard base-pairing at the 3rd anti-codon position. RNAcentral also lists the same sequence under 1 other name. The record is from Rfam by way of RNAcentral. Lineage: Bacteria; Bacillati; Actinomycetota; Actinomycetes; Micromonosporales; Micromonosporaceae.
CCGCUCGUGGCCCAACUGGACAGGGCUCCGGCCUACGAAGCCGGCGGUUGCAGGUUCGAAUCCUGCCGAGCGGA